This 1487-nucleotide long non-coding RNA is filed under the name Homo sapiens (human). Its description in RNAcentral is "HSALNT0325351". The record is from RNAcentral. Lineage: Eukaryota; Metazoa; Chordata; Mammalia; Primates; Hominidae.
CACAAUGAGCAGGAAACGGAUCCUCCUCUAGAGCAUCUGGAAACAGACGCAGCCCUGCUGACCCUUUGAUUUCUGCUGAUAUAGACAGGCAUUGCUCCGAGCCAGGAUCAAAUGUGGAGAAGCAGUGGCUGUUCUGACAGGUGGCGGUCUUGUCUCGAUGUGAGCGGAGUCCAACAGACGCUGACAUCUCCGGUGAAUGGCUUCAAUGAUAAUUUUAAAAAAUCAUGGUGGCUGCUUUAUGGAUAAUAUACAAUUUUGCAAGCCUCAAACGGAAGGUCUACAAUGGCAUAAUUAACUGAACUGAACUGCAAAUUGGAUGCACAAAAAUCCUACGGGUUUCCCCUUAGAAAGGAAGAAUAUGACCUUAUUCCAAGACCAAGAUCUUAUUCAUAGUAUGUAUUGGCAAUUUAGCUGUCAGGUUUAACAUUAUUAUCAUGAAAAGAGGAAAAUAAAUAAAAAACUUUUUAAAAGGGUCUGCCUUUUAAACCCUUGUGUAGUUUUUUUUUCCUUCUAAUUUACUUACUUUUUCUUGACUAUUGAAAAUGUACAAUAACAACUUGUGUCUAGGUGGGCAUGCUGGCACGUGCCUGUAAUCCCAGGUACUCAGGAGGCUAAGGCAGGAGGAUCACUUUAGCUCAGGAGUUUGAGUCUAGCCUGGGCAACAUAGCAAGACACUAUUACAAAAAAAAACAAACUUGUGUUUUUUCUCUAAUGACAGCAAAGUAUGAGUUUCAAAAUAUAGAUUGAGCAUCCCUUGUGUGAAAUGCCUGGGACACAAAGUGUUGUGGAUUUCAAUAUUUUUUGGAUUUUGGAAUAUUUGCAUACUAUGUACUGGUUAAGCAUAAUUUAAGUUAAAUUCAAAAUCCAAAAUAUUCCCAAUGAGCAUUUCCUUUCAGCAACACAUCAGCAUGCAAAAUGUCUUGGAUUUUGAAGCAUUGUGGAUUUGGAGUUUUUGGAUUAGGUAUAUUCAACCUAUCUGCACCUACAAGAGACAUACACCAAUAAAAAAUUUUAAAAUCCAGGUUCACAUUUUAUCAACUACAAGACUUUGUAAUAUGAAUGGCAUUUAUUUUAUAAACAUUUAUUGCACAACUACCAGGUGCCUGGCAGUGUCCUUGGUUCCAGGAAGACAAAAUAAGUCCUUGACAAACCUAGCAAAGAAACUGCUAUGUAAACAAAUAGUUACACGACAGUGUCAAAUAUUUAAUAAUAACAACACACGCACAGUGCAGCGGUCAUGUGGAUACCUAUGCAGUGGUAUUCUAUGGGAAAGAGGUGGUUCACUGGUCAUCUACAAGGGGAUCUUUGAGAUGAGAACAGAGAAAUAAAUGCACAUUAUGCCAGCUCAUGCAAAACACAGAAUGCAUCGCCACUUUCACACCAACAGGUAUAAACAUUACCUUUUCUGAACAUAUGGAAAAUAUUUUAAUCUAAAGACAGGACAAGCUAGCUCAGCAAGUCAGAGGAAGACAGCAUGAUUGAAUUUC